AGAAAAGAAAAGUCGAAUCCUUGUAAAGGGUACGGGGGAUCCAAUCUUUUGGGGUGAAUCCAAUGUAUUUGGAAGGCUGUCUUCAGCCUAACCCGUCAGUUAACCUCGGAGACAGAGAGGAGCUUUUAU
RNAcentral lists this small RNA (129 nucleotides) under Megasphaera cerevisiae. RNAcentral's name for it is "c-di-AMP sequence". It matches the Rfam family "c-di-AMP riboswitch aptamer (ydaO/yuaA leader)". Rfam says of the family: This family represents a conserved RNA structure found upstream of the ydaO and yuaA genes in Bacillus subtilis and related genes in other bacteria. The ydaO/yuaA element is thought to act as a genetic "off" switch for the ydaO and yuaA genes in its native state. Lineage: Bacteria; Bacillati; Bacillota; Negativicutes; Veillonellales; Veillonellaceae. RNAcentral also lists the same sequence under 1 other name. The record is from RNAcentral.